AUGGUUCUGCUGCACAUGAAGUGGGGCGACAAGAGCCAGUUCCUGCUGCAGGUGCCAGGGAGCACCAAGCCGGAGGAGCUUAUGGUGCAAGUGGGCCAGGUCUAUAAUGGGUGGCUCAACGUGCAGCGCCUCUGCUUGGAAAUGGAAGAAUUAGCACAACAUGACAUAUUUCUCUCUCCUAAUAUGCAAGGACUGACCAAUGAUCAGAUUGAAGAAUUGAAAUUAAAGAAGGAAUGGGGUGAAAAAUGUAUG
This 252-nucleotide long non-coding RNA is filed under the name Homo sapiens (human). RNAcentral describes it as "non-protein coding lnc-PLXDC2-5:1". The record is from RNAcentral. Lineage: Eukaryota; Metazoa; Chordata; Mammalia; Primates; Hominidae.